Molecule: long non-coding RNA, 673 nt
Organism: Lactuca sativa (garden lettuce)
Lineage: Eukaryota; Viridiplantae; Streptophyta; Magnoliopsida; Asterales; Asteraceae
Source: RefSeq, a predicted model, not a curated record
AAACGUCACUUAAUUGGAGGCAUAAAUUCAGACUCUUGAGUGACCUAGAAAUGUUAUAAAUUUGGACAUUAUAAAAAGCUCGAGAAAUGGAAUGGGAUGACUGGAAUCGCUAGAAAGGCUUGAGAAUUGUAAGAGAAAUCGGAGGAAGAAGUUGGAAACGUUUUUCGGUAUAUUGCUCAAAAUUAAGGGUGCAUGUCUGCAAAUAGCGUGACGACAUCCGGUUAAGACCUAACGGCAACAAAGUGAGUUUUUCGUGUUCUGUGGUUUCUCACACAUAAAUGUUUAUCAUGCGUUUAUUAUGUGGUUUUUAUUUACUUAUUGACAAUAUGUUUUAUGAUAAGUAUGGUUGGGUGCAAAUGUUAUUUUGGAUUUGUUAUCUGUUGUGUGUGUGUUUUUUUGGAUGACGUGUUUAGUGGGAACGGGUGGGUGUUUAAUCGCCGUGAGCAUGACGGAUGUGUGUGAUCGGCGGGGAUAGGAAUUGAGAGUCAUACUCAUUUUCUUGGAUAUUUAAAAUACUUGAGUACAAUGGAUGAUUAGUUGUCUCAAGGAGAAUGGAAAUAAACAUUUGGUUCUUUCUCUGGAUAAUUAAUCGUUCCCCUAAAUUAUGUCAUCGGGUGAUAUGUUUGUUGUAUGAUUUAUUGAAACUAUAUGAUACAACUAUAUGUUUUUUUAA